Molecule: ribosomal RNA, 440 nt
Filed under: uncultured bacterium
Lineage: Bacteria
Description: partial 16S ribosomal RNA
Rfam family: Bacterial small subunit ribosomal RNA
Source: RNAcentral
CCUACGGGAGGCAGCAGUGGGGGAUAUUGCACAAUGGGGGGAACCCUGAUGCAGCGACGCCGCGUGGGUGAAGAAGCGCCUCGGCGCGUAAAGUCCUGUCAGCAGGGAAGAAAAUGACGGUACCUGAAGAAGAAGCACCGGCUAACUACGUGCCAGCAGCCGCGGUAAUACGUAGGGGGCAAGCGCUAGCCGGAUUUACUGGGUGGAAAGGGGGCGCAGACGGCGAUGCAAGCCAGGAGUGAAAGCCCGGGGCCCAACCCCGGGACUGCUCUUGGAACUGCGUGGCUGGAGUGCAGGAGGGGCAGGCGGAAUUCCUGGUGUAGCGGUGAAAUGCGUAGAUAUCAGGAGGAACACCGGUGGCGAAGGCGGCCUGCUGGACUGCAACUGACGUUGAGGCCCGAAAGCGUGGGGAGCAAACAGGAUUAGAUACCCGGGUAGUC